RNAcentral lists this ribosomal RNA (162 nucleotides) under Primula calyptrata. RNAcentral's name for it is "5.8S ribosomal RNA". It matches the Rfam family "5.8S ribosomal RNA". From Rfam's summary of the family: 5.8S ribosomal RNA (5.8S rRNA) is a component of the large subunit of the eukaryotic ribosome. It is transcribed by RNA polymerase I as part of the 45S precursor that also contains 18S and 28S rRNA. Lineage: Eukaryota; Viridiplantae; Streptophyta; Magnoliopsida; Ericales; Primulaceae. The record is from RNAcentral.
AAAAUGACUCUCGGCAACGGAUAUCUAGGCUCUCGCAUCGAUGAAGAACGUAGCAAAAUGCGAUACUUGGUGUGAAUUGCAGAAUCCCGUGAACCAUCGAGUUUUUGAACGCAAGUUGCGCCCGAAGCCAUUAGGCCAAGGGCACGUCUGCCUGGGCGUCUC